RNAcentral lists this long non-coding RNA (2372 nucleotides) under Oreochromis niloticus (Nile tilapia). RNAcentral describes it as "lncRNA (ENSONIG00000033925.1)". The record is from RNAcentral. Lineage: Eukaryota; Metazoa; Chordata; Actinopteri; Cichliformes; Cichlidae.
AUGCUUCAUAAACACUGUUUAAAAAGUGUUUUUGUUUUCUUUUUGACUUCUUUGACCAGAGCCCUACACAAAGGAAGAGGACAGAGGACCUCAUUUUCUAAAGGAAGAGCCCUCACACACUUUCAAGACUGUGAAGGUAUUGAAGACACGUUUUCUAAGAGGAUGAAAGUUGGCAUUGUGAUGGUGAAAGAAGAAGACAUCAUCGAUGUGUUGGUUGUCCUUGAGGCGGCAGUAAUCCUGUCUAAUCUGAGGGAUGUCUCAAGUGCCAUUUCCAUGCUGAUGGGCCUUCUUUUUGCCCUCAACAUAGACUAUCCAAAGGAACUUAAGGGCAUCUUUGAAGUCAUUCAGAACGUCCUAAUGAACAUUGGUGGAAGGCAGUGCAUCUCACUAGUGCAUGGUCUAAGAAACAGACUCUUGCAGAAAGCCAUGCAGAACUGUAAUUGUAUGCUCACAGCAUACAAUUGCCUUAGUGUUAAGGACAGUUUUUAUUUUACUGUUUGUUUUUUUAUUCUUGCAAGUUCUCAUUCUCACUUUUGUAUGUCACUAAAUGACUACACUUUACAUUCCAGAUUAGACAAUUACUCAUUUGUUCAUGGUUUAAGAAACUUAUGUGAACAACAAUAUAAUGGUGGACUCUGCAGAUGCUUAUCUCAUGCAAGUCAGUAGUUUUUCCUUUGUUUUGCAAUUGAGCAGACUCAAACUAAUGUUUCUGAAAUAUCCAUCUUAUCAAAUGUUUCAGAAGCAUGCACUCAUUUUCAAAGAUAUUGGUUCUGUGGAAUUUGUUGCAAUUGUAAACGAAGACAAAUACAAGAGUUUGAUGUCUUAGUUGUUAUAAACUGAUCUUUACUGUCACUUAUCAAAGGUUUUGUACUAUUUUAAUAUUUCAAGUUUUAUGCUAACAGGUGUGACUGAGCACAAUGAAGUUUAAACAUUUUGCAAAUGUAAAGAAUAACUUUUCUAAAAUAGCAAGUGUCCCGUUGAUACAUUACAUUAAUGCAGACUUUAUGUUGUUACAAGAAUCACUACUGCUCCUAGAGUAUUGGUCAGAAUUUAAUCUUCACCCAAACUGGGCUCAAGACCAAAUUCAAAUUUAUUGUUUCACAGGGAGCAACCUUUGAGUUUUGAUGGAUUGUGAGCCUGAUGAGCUACGUCACUGAUUUUUCUGUUUCUCAGAUGACUAAGAUGGCACAAUAAAUGGUGAAUGUUGGGUGCUCAUGAGUAAUUGUCUUGUCAUGUUCUUAAAACAAACUUGAAAUGAUCAGAUACACUUUAAUGGAAUCUGUGGGGUUUUAUUUUUUUUCUGUAAACAACGGAAAAUUAAUUUAAAGGAAUGUAGAUAUUUAAACCUGAGAUCUAAGAUAAACCUAACAGGUAGUUUUGCUGAAAUGGAUGUUAGAAAGCUAAAAAAACAAAACAAAACUUAAGAUGUUUAAUACACAUUUUUCUUUACAUCCAGUCAGUCAACUCUGAUAAUUAAAAUGAAACUGAUUUACAAGUUCACUCAGCCACCUUAAGGAGCUCAGUUAAUUAAUAAACUUAAAUCAACUUAGCUAACAGAUUAUGUUAGUUAAGCUAAAAUAGAUUCCUAAGUUAAAAGAACUACUAAAGUAUUUGAAUUAACUAAAAAACCCAAGUCAACUGAACUAGGACAAGAGUUUAAACAAUAGAUUAUUUUAAUUUAGCUGAAAGGGUUUUCCCAAGUAAAAAUGACAAUUAAAGGAGUUGAACUGACUAACAAAUCUCAGUCAACUAAACUAAGUCGAAAGUUUAGACAACAUGUGAUUUUUCAUCAACAUAACAUUUGGUUGUGUUACAAGAACAAACUCUAUUUCUUGACUUAACUUAAAAUUUUAAGGCAGCCCUUUACCUGAUAUUUUUAAGUUGAAACAAGUUAUAUUUUACAGUGUACAAAUAAAUAUGGUUGUCAGGGUGUCGUUGCCAAGCAACAGCGUGAAAAAUAUACUCCGAGUGCAAACAUUCAAAGGGAAGCGCUGACAAAUGUUUAGCACAUCCGGCCCGUAGCCAUAGUAACGCUGAUGAAGAUGACAACAUUGAUUGUGUUUUUUUAAUGGCCACACUUCACGUGUGGGUUUCUAAAACGUUAACGUCUGAUUUUCUAAUCAGAUAUCGGGCAACUCAGGAUGUUUCCAGGAUGGUACGUUGUGGGGAAAUCUGAAUAUUUAAUCACAAAUAAAUACAGCGUAGAAAGCAGGUGGAUGAUUUUCAGGCGAACAGCAUCACAUGACAAGUGUUUAAACAUUAGUUUUCAUUAAGCAACUUAUUUUCCAAGUAGUGAAACACAUACUUAUAUAAUUGCUCUCAUAUAAAAGUCAUGACCCCGCUUAAGUAAUACAAAGGUUUUAGAAUACCAU